RNAcentral lists this ribosomal RNA (122 nucleotides) under uncultured bacterium. Its description in RNAcentral is "partial 16S ribosomal RNA". The record is from RNAcentral.
UGGGGUUUGGUAAUGGGCGCAGCCUGAUCAUCCUGCCGCGUGAUGAAAAGGCCUUCGGGUUGUAAGCUGUUUUGUCAGGGAAGAAAACGUGGACUCAUCAAGCUUGACCGGACGUACCAGAA